This 503-nucleotide ribosomal RNA is filed under the name uncultured bacterium. Its description in RNAcentral is "partial 16S ribosomal RNA". It matches the Rfam family "Bacterial small subunit ribosomal RNA", at positions 28 to 523 of the family's 1533-position model. The record is from RNAcentral.
GAUGAACGCUAGCGACAGGCUUAACACAUGCAAGUCGAGGGGCAGCAUAAAAGUAGCAAUACUUUGGUGGCGACCGGCGCACGGGUGAGUAACGCGUAUGCAACCUACCUAUCAGAGGGGAAUAACCCGGCGAAAGUCGGACUAAUACCGCAUAAAACAGGGGCACCGCAUGGUGAUAUUUGUUAAAGAAAUUCGCUGAUAGAUGGGCAUGCGUUCCAUUAGGUAGUUGGUGAGGUAACGGCUCACCAAGCCGACGAUGGAUAGGGGAACUGGGAGGUGGGUCCCCCACACUGGUACUGAGACACGGACCAGACUCCUACGGGAGGCAGCAGUGAGGAAUAUUGGUCAAUGGGCGAGAGCCUGAACCAGCCAAGUCGCGUGAGGGAAGAAGGAUCUAUGGUUCGUAAACUUCUUUUGCAGGGGAAUAAAGUGCGGGACGUGUCCUGUUUUGUAUGUACCCUGAGAAUAAGGAUCGGCCAACUCCGUGCCAGCAGCCGCCGUAA